This 439-nucleotide ribosomal RNA is filed under the name uncultured bacterium. RNAcentral's name for it is "bacterial SSU rRNA". It matches the Rfam family "Bacterial small subunit ribosomal RNA", at positions 340 to 773 of the family's 1533-position model. The record is from RNAcentral.
UACGGAAGGCAGCAGUGGGGAAUAUUGCACAAUGGGCGCAAGCCUGAUGCAGCCAUGCCGCGUGUAUGAAGAAGGCCUUCGGGUUGUAAAGUACUUUCAGUCGUGAGGAAGGUGUUAAGGUUAAUAACCUUAGCAAUUGACGUUAGCGACAGAAGAAGCACCGGCUAACUCCGUGCCAGCAGCCGCGGUAAUACGGAGGGUGCGAGCGUUAAUCGGAAUUACUGGGCGUAAAGGGCACGCAGGCGGUUAAUUAAGUUGGAUGUGAAAUCCCCGGGCUUAACCUGGGAAUGGCAUUCAAGACUGGUUAGCUAGAGUCUUGUAGAGGGGGUAGAAUUCCAUGUGUAGCGGUGAAAUGCGUAGAGAUGUGGAGGAAUACCGGUGGAGAAGGCGGCCCCUGGACAAAGACUGACGCUCAUGUGCGAAAGCGUGGGGAGCAAAC